This 253-nucleotide ribosomal RNA is filed under the name uncultured bacterium. RNAcentral's name for it is "partial 16S ribosomal RNA". It matches the Rfam family "Bacterial small subunit ribosomal RNA", at positions 524 to 776 of the family's 1533-position model. The record is from RNAcentral.
UACAGAGGUCUCAAGCGUUGUUCGGAUUCAUUGGGCGUAAAGGGUGCGUAGGCGGCGCGGUAAGUCGGGUGUGAAAUUUCGAGGCUUAACUUCGAAACUGCAUUCGAUACUGCCGUGCUAGAGGACUGGAGAGGAGACUGGAAUUUACGGUGUAGCGGUGAAAUGCGUAGAUAUCGUAAGGAAGACCAGUGGCGAAGGCGGGUCUCUGGGCCGAUAUUGACGCUGAUGUGCGAAAGCGUGGGGAGCAAACAGG